GGUGUUGUAGCUCAGUGGUAGAGCGCUUGCCUCACAUGCAUGAGGCCUUGGGUUCAAUCCUCAGCACCACAU
RNAcentral lists this transfer RNA (72 nucleotides) under Marmota monax (woodchuck). Its description in RNAcentral is "tRNA.Val". It matches the Rfam family "tRNA". Rfam says of the family: Transfer RNA (tRNA) molecules are approximately 80 nucleotides in length. Their secondary structure includes four short double-helical elements and three loops (D, anti-codon, and T loops). Lineage: Eukaryota; Metazoa; Chordata; Mammalia; Rodentia; Sciuridae. The record is from RNAcentral.